CCCACUCCCAUCGAUCCCCCCGUUCAGAUCGCGCCGCCGCCUCCCAGGCACCUCCUCCCUUCCGCCGCCCAGGCACCUCCUCCCUUCCGCGCCCAGGCACUUCCUCCCUUCCACCGGCCCCUAUCGACCACGGCCCGCGUCAGUCUCGCCGGAGAGAGAGGAGAUGCCGCCCAGCAACCACGGCGUCGCGGCUGGCUUGCUCGCCGGUGCACGGGUGCGUGCUUCGAUGCGUGGCGCUUCGUCGAGCUGGCCGGACCGCGGCGCGCGCGUGGCCUGCAUAGGGUUUGCAGUGGCGGCGCUACACGCUGGCCGCAGGUCUCCGGCUACCAGGAAGGCGCCGCCGCCGAUUCGAGUCGAUCCUCAAGGGUGACCAAGAGGUCCUGCCGAGCUCAAGUUCGUCCACGACGACCCACCACGGCAGGCGGAGCAACGGGUUAGGGAGGGAAAUCAGGCGAUGGCCAGCAAGUCAAGGCCAUCAUGACGGCCGGCGGCGCUCGAGCUCGCCGCCACCGCCGGGAAGGCCGCCGCCGACUGCGUCAUCCCCACCUUCAAGAAAUGUCCUCUUUGGUGUCUGUUACGUCUCUGAGUUGGGUUUUGGUGGACCUCUUCGUUGCGCACGGCUGAGCUGAACGUCCUCGGCGGUGGUGGCGGCACGUGUGAGAUCCUCCUCCAUGACAAGGCCGCCGCCGGAUCAGCUCCUCUCCGCCGGUGGACCCUCGCCUCUCCGACAAGGCCGCCACCGGAUCCCGUCCUAUCCAACAGCAACGCCUCCGGAUCCACUCGUCCUCGACAACGAUGGCGCCGAGGAGCACCAGGAGCUUCA
This is a long non-coding RNA of Triticum dicoccoides, 823 nucleotides long. RefSeq lists it as uncharacterized. NCBI's taxonomy places the organism in Eukaryota, Viridiplantae, Streptophyta, Magnoliopsida, Poales, Poaceae. The transcript is spliced from 4 exons. The record is from RefSeq and is a predicted model, not a curated record.